This 545-nucleotide ribosomal RNA is filed under the name Gilliamella apicola. Its description in RNAcentral is "bacterial SSU rRNA". It matches the Rfam family "Bacterial small subunit ribosomal RNA", at positions 343 to 881 of the family's 1533-position model. The record is from RNAcentral. Lineage: Bacteria; Pseudomonadati; Pseudomonadota; Gammaproteobacteria; Orbales; Orbaceae.
GGGGGGCACAGUGGGGAAUAUUGCACAAUGGGGGAAACCCUGAUGCAGCCAUGCCGCGUGUAUGAAGAAGGCCUUCGGGUUGUAAAGUACUUUCGGUAGUGAGGAAGUUGUGUGUAUGAAAAGUGCAUGCAGUUGACGUUAGCUACAGAAGAAGCACCGGCUAACUCCGUGCCAGCAGCCGCGGUAAUACGGAGGGUGCGAGCGUUAAUCGGAAUGACUGGGCGUAAAGGGCAUGUAGGCGGAUAAUUAAGUUAGGUGUGAAAGCCCCGGGCUCAACCUGGGAAUUGCACUUAAAACUGGUUAUCUGGAGUAUUGUAGAGGAAGGUAGAAUUCCACGUGUAGCGGUGAAAUGCGUAGAGAUGUGGAGGAAUACCGGUGGCGAAGGCGGCCUUCUGGACAGAUACUGACGCUGAGAUGCGAAAGCGUGGGGAGCAAACAGGAUUAGAUACCCUGGUAGUCCACGCUGUAAACGAUGUCGAUUUGGAGUUUGUUGCCCUGAGUGAUGGGCUCCGAAGCUAACGCGAUAAAUCGACCGCCUGGGGAGU